This 460-nucleotide ribosomal RNA is filed under the name uncultured bacterium. RNAcentral's name for it is "partial 16S ribosomal RNA". It matches the Rfam family "Bacterial small subunit ribosomal RNA", at positions 338 to 795 of the family's 1533-position model. The record is from RNAcentral.
CCUACGGGUGGCAGCAGUGAGGAAUAUUGGUCAAUGGUCGUAAGGCUGAACCAGCCAAGUCGCGUGAAGGAUGAAGGAUCUAUGGUUUGUAAACUUCUUUUAUAGGGGAAUAAAGGUCUCCACGUGUGGUUAUUUGCAUGUACCGUAUGAAUAAGCAUCGGCUAACUCCGUGCCAGCAGCCGCGGUAAUACGGAGGAUGCGAGCGUUAUCCGGAUUUAUUGGGUUUACAGGGUGCGUAGGUUGUUUGUUAAGUCAGCGGUGAAAGGUUGUGGCUCAACCAUAACAUUGCCGUUGAAACUGGAAGACGUGAGUGUGUUGAAGGUAGGCGGAAUGCGUGGUGUAGCGGUGAAAUGCAUAGAUAUCACGCAGAACUCCGAUUGCGAAGGCAGCUUACUAAGCCAUAACUGACACUGAAGCACGAAAGCGUGGGGAUCAAACAGGAUUAGAUACCCCGGUAGUC